CAGAGAGAGGUCAUGUAGCAGCCGAGAAGAUAGGAUUGCCAGCAUUCUCCGUUGAACUUGACACCUGGAUGGCUAAUCUCCCCAGCAGAGAGCAGACCCAGCUACACUGAAAGAUACCCAGAUGUGUGUUUACAGGUGCGAACUUGACCAGAUAAAUGGAAAGGAUCAGGGCUCAGAAGGCCCCCAUCAAGUCGUGGAGAGCAUCUGGGAGUCGGGUCUGCAUCCUUGUGUAAAUUCUUCCCACAAAUAAAUGGCAUCUAUUAUUCUACCGAGUCUGGUUAAUUCAUUACUAACCACCUAUACCAGGCACCCAACCCAGUCAGGUGGGUUCCUGUGACCACCUCAUGUGGCUGGCUACCACCCAUGGCUUUUGUGCAUUAAGGAGGCUGCUGGGUUUGCCGCAGCCUGGGCCAGGGGAGGCCAGUGCUUCUCUGUAUCCUCUGCAUGCUGUGGAUUUGUGACAGCACUUUUCUUUGCUCUUGAAUCUGCUUAAGGUUUGUGUGGGCCUCACACAGCACAUUCGUAUUGCCGCGGUAGCCACUUAGCUCCUGCACCUCACACAAGCUGCGUCCUUCAUCUUCUUUCUAACAAAAUUUCAUUCUUUUGACUUUGUUGGGAGUAGCUUAGAAUUCACAGAUUGUAACAAAUCAGAAACAAAAGCGAAACAGAGGGAAGCAGUCGGCCUCUGGACUCAAUUUGGCAGUACACCUGCGGCACCAGCUGGCCAAUCCUAGUUACUACAAGUUGAG
This 749-nucleotide long non-coding RNA is filed under the name Cricetulus griseus (Chinese hamster). RNAcentral describes it as "lncRNA (ENSCGRG00015032668.1)". Lineage: Eukaryota; Metazoa; Chordata; Mammalia; Rodentia; Cricetidae. The record is from RNAcentral.